GCACAGUGGAUUGAAGCGGGGCUGUCAGUCACUUGGUGUUUGAGGACUCCCAUUGUAAAUCAGGGAUUCUUGCAGCCUGCUUUUUCAGGGACGUUGGCUGCUGUCUUCUGACCCACCCUGUGUGACUUUGGCGUCUCCUGUGACCUCCCAGUAUGGGUCUUGGCUUCAUCCUGCCUCUUUGCCUUUCUGGCCCACCACCACCAACUUGAAUCUCAGGCUCCAACAGUUGCCUGACCCCCAGACUCUGAUGACAGCCUACCUACUUGUUCUUCAGACCCUGAGCAGACUCACUGCCCAGACACACCAUACACGAGAACAUGAAAGGGUAUUUGAGUUUGGGGCCAUGUCAUAGGAUGCACCUUGAAAUGAGCCACGACAUGUGCAGUCUAAUGGUCUCUGUUGAUCCAUUUGCUGUCUGUGAAACUCCAGAAGUCAGAUCAUUGAACCAUUCUAGAGACUUCAAAUCCAUUGAGAUGGGAUUAAUGCCUUUGCCUGCUCAGACAGAGGACAGAAUGACCAUUGGAAGUGUUCAUCAGUAUUUUCCUGCUCUUAGAUGGAAAGGCCAAGGCCACCCCAAGCAUGCUGAAAUUAGUGGGCCAUCAUCAGGAAGAAGUUCAGAACUACAUAUGGAACCAGGUAACCGCUUUUCAUUUUCCCUUAGCUGA
This is a long non-coding RNA of Macaca mulatta (Rhesus monkey), 665 nucleotides long. NCBI's taxonomy places the organism in Eukaryota, Metazoa, Chordata, Mammalia, Primates, Cercopithecidae. The record is from Ensembl.